Molecule: ribosomal RNA, 495 nt
Filed under: uncultured bacterium
Lineage: Bacteria
Description: partial 16S ribosomal RNA
Rfam family: Bacterial small subunit ribosomal RNA
Source: RNAcentral
GAUGAACGCUGGCGGCGUGCCUAAUACAUGCAAGUAGAACGCUGAAGGAGGAGCUUGCUCUUCUGGAUGAGUUGCGAACGGGUGAGUAACGCGUAGGUAACCUGCCUGGUAGCGGGGGAUAACUAUUGGAAACGAUAGCUAAUACCGCAUGACAACAGUUAUUGCAUGAUAACUGUUUAAAAGGGGCAACUGCUCCACUACCAGAUGGACCUGCGUUGUAUUAGCUAGUUGGUGAGGUAACGGCUCACCAAGGCGACGACACAUAGCCGACCUGAGAGGGGGGUCGGCCACACUGGGACUGAGACACGGCCCAGACUCCUACGGGAGGCAGCAGUAGGGUAUCGUCGGCUAUGGACGGAAGUCUGACCGAGCAACGCCGCGUGAGUGAAGAAGGUUUUCGGAUCGUAAAGCUCUGUUGUAAGAGAAGAGCGAGUGUGAGAGUGGAAAGUUCACACUGUGACGGUAUCUUACCAGAAAGGGACGGCUAACUACGUG